UGCAUCAACUACUGUAAGUCGCUCUGGAUAAGAGUGUAUGCUAAAUGACUAAAA
Non-coding RNA from Salmo salar (Atlantic salmon), 54 nucleotides. Lineage: Eukaryota; Metazoa; Chordata; Actinopteri; Salmoniformes; Salmonidae. The record is from Rfam.